This is an RNA transcript of Rhincodon typus (whale shark), 3866 nucleotides long. It is a transcript of the gene named nuclear transcription factor Y subunit alpha, with no coding region annotated. The record is from RefSeq and is a predicted model, not a curated record. The transcript is spliced from 11 exons. Lineage: Eukaryota; Metazoa; Chordata; Chondrichthyes; Orectolobiformes; Rhincodontidae.
CGGAGAGCGCAUGCGCAGCAAGCGGUUUCGCGAAGGAGAAGGCCGCUCGCAGUUGGUCGCCAUCUUGUGCUGCUGUGUUCCUAUUCGCCGCCGGGGCAUUGUGUUUAAUACCGGAGCCAAUCAGAGGGGCAAAAGCGCGGGGUUUUGUUCAGUUUUGAACUGUAUUCCGCCAAGAAUUCUGCAACACAGCCAAGUUAAUAAUGGAACAGUACACAGCAAAUAACAGCAAUUCAACUGAACAGAUAGUGGUUCAAGGACAAAUUCAACAACAGAGUCAGCCAUUAAUGGUCCAAGUUAGUGGUGGUCAAUUAAUCACAUCCACUGGUCAACCAAUCAUGGUUCAGGCAGUACCUACAGGACAAGGACAGACAAUUAUGCAGGUUCCUGUCUCUGGAGGGCAAGGUAUACAACAGAUUCAGCUGGUUCAACCAGGUCAGCUCCAGCUUCAAAGUGGACAGGCUGUUCAGGUCCAGAACCAACAAGGACAGGCACAACAAAUCAUUAUUCAACAGCCCCAAGCAGCUGUGACAGCUGGACAAACACAGCAAAUAGUACAAGGACAGCAGGUGGCACAGACUGCAGAGGGGCAGACAAUUGUGUACCAACCGGUUAAUGCAGACGGCACCAUACUCCAGCAAGGCAUGAUCACGAUUCCUGCUGCCAGUCUUGCUGGGGCUCAAAUUGUCCAGACGGGAGCCAGCACAAGCACCACAAAUAGCAGCCAGGGCACUGUAACGGUGACACUGCCUGUUGCUGGAAGCAUGGUCAAUGCAGGCGGCAUGGUGAUGAUGGUACCAGGCACUAGUACAGUUCCAGCUAUGCAACGGAUCCCCUUGCCUGGUGCAGAACUACUAGAAGAAGAACCAUUGUAUGUAAACGCCAAACAAUAUCACCGAAUCUUGAAAAGGCGACAGGCAAGAGCUAAACUAGAGGCAGAAGGUCGGAUUCCAAAAGAAAGGAGGAAAUAUCUCCAUGAGUCACGUCACCGCCAUGCUAUGCAGCGAAAGCGUGGAGAAGGAGGCCGCUUCUUUUCUCCUAAGGAGGGUGAUGAGAUUGUCAUCUCAGUCAGGCUGUGAAAAGGCGUAAGACAGAGAAAAGCCUGAAUGAUUUCUGGGUAGGCUGUAGGAAAAAACAAAAAAAAGAAACACCAGCAGAAUGAAGAAAUAGUGGGUCAGGUGAUCAGGGUGGCCUAAACCUCUGCCUUAUGCAAGUCCUUUGAAACAAACACCAAGUCAAAUUGAUGGUCUCUCCUCCAUCCAGUAUUCCUACAUUGACUGCCUCGCCUGCAUUCCUGAAACAGAAGUGGAGUUUUACAACAAAGUGGUUCUCCAGGAGAGAAAAACAUCUUUUUUUUUUGCAAGUCCUGAGAAUUUAGACUAAAGAACAUCACUGAAGUAUCAGUAAUGAAACUCACUUCAACAGGAAAAGGACUUCGAGUAACUUUUAAUCUAGAUGGAGAAAACCAAUGUUGCAGCUGCUUUCAGUGGUGAUGGUAUGGAGUCAAUAUUAGUUUUGGAUGAGUGGGGAGAACCAUCCUGAUGCUUUGUCCACUUCUAGAAAGUUGGCAAAGAUCAAAGUGUAGUGCGCUGUAAAUUUAUCAAAAACCUCAAGGGGGGGUGGGAGUUAAGAGAAACAAGUUGAAUAGUUAUCUUGUAAUGAGUGAGGGAGGAAAGGAAAGGGUUUACCUGAUGCAUUUGGUAUGUUAUUAUGAAACUUACAUGAUUUUGUAUUUUUCCAGUGUUUGUUAAUUGAGAUAAUGUACAAGUGUGUGUUUUUUUAAUUUUCAUUGUGUACCCAAUGCAAAUACUCAGUAAAAUGUAGCAGAAAGACUGCUUCCUGAGAGAUGGUAAACCAUUUUGGAAAACCAUUUAUUUUACAGAAUUGGUGUUAAAUUGGAUGCAAUUUCAGUGCUUCAAAUCUGGCUGUAAUGCGGCAAGAAAAUGUUUUUCUUAAAAGGGAUGAUAGGAUGUAUUACAAAAUAGUAAGUUAGUGCAGCAUGAGGGUCAGUAUAAACUAUAACAAUCAGAUAUUUCAACUUUUAAUCAUUUAGUUCAUCCUAAGGUAGGUCAGCUGGGACAACAAUAGAUCUUAGCCUUGGGCCUUUGACUUGUUUGGGGGAGGCCAUCACAAAAUAUUUAAGCUAUGGUUACUGCUUCUCACCAUCCUUUAGCUCCUGUUAGUACAGACGUAUGGAUGUUAAGAGAGGACAACUCAAUGGCAUUCUCCAUAGUUGAAUGACACACCAGUGUUCAUUAUCUUGCAUGAAACAUGGCAAUUUUUGUGGUCCGAGAAAUGUAUUGCAGUCAACAGAACUUUGCUCCAUUAUGUAUUGGUCCUUUUUCUUUUGUAAGGGUGAGGGCAGAAAAGUAUCCAUCACAAGAAAUGAUUAUUUUCAAAAUGCUUUUGUUUUCUUGUUUUAAUAUCAGGCUACUUUUCUCCCCCUAGAGAAACAUCGUAUGAAUUUUCUUCCUACAUUUGAAAUUAACACUACAAUGUAGCAGCAUGCAACUGCAGCCUAACUAUAAAAUCCCAUUUCUUCAAACAUUGUUGUGCUUACAUUACAGAAUAGUGUUUGUUGCCUCUUUGGAAUAAAAGGGGAGAAGGUCAUGUUUUGAAAAAUCAGCUUUUGGCUAAUAAUUUUUUUCUUUAAAAAUAAUGUCCUUUUUCAGUUGUGACUAGUAUUCAGAUCCAGCAAGGAGAAAAAAAUGGGGGUUUAAUUUUCUUGUGGGCUUGCAGAACUUCAGUUUCUGAAGAUUGGAUUAAAUGGAGUAAAAUGCCAGUCUGUUAGAAUAUACUUUCACAUUCAUUAAGAUAAAAAAUAAACAAAGAGCUGCCCUCCAGGAUGUCUGUUAAAGAUGCGAUGAAAAACGUUUGACAGUCUUCAUGUAGCACUUGAUCUUGGCCUGGCUCUUCAGUGCAUGUGUUGGAAACACAGUAUUUUUGUUUUGUCAGGUAUAUGGACUUGGUUUCAUAUCUGACCUAGGAAGGAUAAAAGGUAUUUUAUUCAUAUGAGAAACAUCCUUUCAAAUGUGGAACCAAUUUCAAAUUCAACUAUUACAGCAGAUGCAAGUCUAGGACUCUAAAAUGAAUUUGGGGCAUUCUCAAACAAUUCAUUUUCCAGUAAGCUCAAGUCUACAACAAGCCUACAUUAUGCAAUAAUUGGGUAACAAGAGAGCCAUUGGUGUAGGAAUGAAAAUGUCACUGCUCUGAGGAUCUACUGGACUUACCUGAUGAUGGAUAAUUGGUGGAAGCCAGAGAGUCCCUAGUGGCCAAAUUCUGGCAAAUGCACAGUUUGGACCAAUAACAGCCUAGGAAAUUACAAGCAGCUGUAUAACUUCAAUAGUUGGGUAAUAAGGAACUUAGCAGAACAGACUUCAUGAAGUUUGACCAUUGGCUGUAGCCCACUGUUAUGCUUGAGCAGUAAGUACUCCAGAGCAAUAAAGUAUAAAUUGGAGAGGUCUUUGAACAAUCAACAGCAAUCAAACUCAAUAUUUGCUGAUUCUGAAUGCAAUACCUUCCGCACAUGCACCUGAAGAACCAGUUAUCCAGGUAAUUGACUUUUUACCCUUGCGUCAAUUAACAUUACACAGUGACUGAGUAGCACUAAAACUCAGUUUUAAGGGCUCUGAAUAUCAGGUAGAACAUUUUAAUUGUUGCAGAUAUUAUAAAAGGUCAUGCAGAUUAUAAUUAUUUCAACCAAUGCAUUGAAAUGAGUGACUUCUUUUUGUAUAUAGGUUACAGAUUUAUAAUUUUUAUAUACGGCAUUUGGUUUGUAAGCAUGAGUCUAUGAAUUUAGCUGUAGAAGAAAAGUACUGUGUACGUGGUUCAGCUAAUAAAACCUUACCAUUUUAGUAUUUUAAAAGAAA